UCCUUGAGGCCGCAAGGCGGAUGGGAUGGAUGGCCGAAGGAUGAGCGGCAAGCGGGUGAGUAACGCGUGGGUCAUCUGCCCUCGAGUGGGGGAUAACGACCCGAAAGGGUCGCUAAUACCGCAUAAGCCCACAGCCCCGAAAGGGGUGGUGGGAGAAGCCGGGGAUCCUUGCGAAAGCGAGGACCUGGCGCUUGAGGAUGAGCCCGCGUCCCAUCAGCUAGUUGGUAGGGUAACGGCCUACCAAGGCGAUGACGGGUAGCUGGCCUGAGAGGGUGGUCAGCCACACUGGGACUGAGACACUGCCCAGGCUCCUACGGGAGGCUGCAGUCGAGGAUAUUUUCCAAUGGGCGCAAGCCUGAGAAUGCGACGCCGCGUGCGGGAUGAAGGCCCUCGGGUCGUAAACCGCUGUCAGGCCGGAAGAAUACCUGUUCCGUGAACAACGGGAUCGGUUGACGGUACGGUCGAAGGAAGCCACGGCCAACUCCGUGCCAGCAGCCGCGGUAAUACGGAGGUGGCGAGCGUUGCUCGGAUUCAUUGGGUGUAAAGGGUCGGUAGGCGGGCUGGUAAGUACUCGGUGAAAUUCCACGGCUCAACCGUGGAGCGCCCGGGUAGACUGCCGGUCUUGAGGGCUGGAGGGGCAAGCGGAAUUCCCGGUGUAAGGGUGAAAUCUGUAGAGAUCGGGAGGAACACCAGUGGCGAAGGCGGCUUGCUGGACAGCACCUGACGCUGAGCGACGAAAGCGUGGGGAGCAAACAGGAUUAGAUACCCUGGUAGUCCACGCUGUAAACGUUGAGGACUAGGUGCCGGCUCGGUAGAGUCGGUGUCGCAGGUAACCCACUAAGUCCUCCACCUGGGGGAGUACGUCCGCAAGGAUGAAACUCAAAGGAAUUGACGGGGGCCCGCACAAGCGGUGGAACAUGUGGUUCAAUUCGAUGCUACGC
RNAcentral lists this ribosomal RNA (941 nucleotides) under uncultured bacterium. RNAcentral's name for it is "bacterial SSU rRNA". It matches the Rfam family "Bacterial small subunit ribosomal RNA", at positions 47 to 962 of the family's 1533-position model. The record is from RNAcentral.